Molecule: ribosomal RNA, 465 nt
Filed under: Vreelandella stevensii
Lineage: Bacteria; Pseudomonadati; Pseudomonadota; Gammaproteobacteria; Oceanospirillales; Halomonadaceae
Description: partial 16S ribosomal RNA
Rfam family: Bacterial small subunit ribosomal RNA
Source: RNAcentral
CCUACGGGGGGCAGCAGUGGGGAAUAUUGGACAAUGGGCGAAAGCCUGAUCCAGCCAUGCCGCGUGUGUGAAGAAGGCCUUCGGGUUGUAAAGCACUUUCAGUGGGGAAGAAAGCCUUGGGGCUAAUACCCUCGAGGAAGGACAUCACCCACAGAAGAAGCACCGGCUAACUCCGUGCCAGCAGCCGCGGUAAUACGGAGGGUGCGAGCGUUAAUCGGAAUUACUGGGCGUAAAGCGCGCGUAGGCGGUCUGAUAAGCCGGUUGUGAAAGCCCCGGGCUCAACCUGGGAACGGCAUCCGGAACUGUCAGGCUAGAGUGCAGGAGAGGAAGGUAGAAUUCCCGGUGUAGCGGUGAAAUGCGUAGAGAUCGGGAGGAAUACCAGUGGUGAAGGCGGCCUUCUGGACUGACACUGACGCUGAGGUGCGAAAGCGUGGGUAGCAAACAGGAUUAGAUACCCUAGUAGUC